UCUCAUUGCAUGUUUUAUUUAGUUGGGAAUCAUUUCACAAAGAAUCAUGGAUUAGAUCUACACAAGCUUGUAUUCAAACAGGCUACUGAUGCAGGUCUCAAAGUCCGGUUAUGUAAAAGUGGAGAAGCUUAUGAACAUCAAACGGUACUUCCAUGUGAUGCACAUCAGCUCCACGGUUGCGGGGGAGUUGUUGGAUCAUCUAACUAGCUGGGAUGUUGGAACAUAAUCUAUUGUUGCAGUUUGAUGUAGACCAGUGUAUUUGGAAAAGUUGCACCUGUCCUCUAUCUAGACCAGUGUAUUUGGAUCUGCUGAACUGUAUGACUUUGAUGAUGAGAAGAUUUGUCGUCCGUUCGCAGAACCGAUCCGAUGAUAGCAACUUCAGAACACUUGGAUUUAAGAUGGAUGGAUGGGAUGGAAGUUGGAUCAAGUUGGUUGGGAGAAGCAUUUUUGGUUUUGCUACUGCAGCUACCACU
Molecule: long non-coding RNA, 473 nt
Organism: Magnolia sinica
Lineage: Eukaryota; Viridiplantae; Streptophyta; Magnoliopsida; Magnoliales; Magnoliaceae
Exons: 4
Source: RefSeq, a predicted model, not a curated record